AUGAGCAUUGCUGAGGAGAAUUUGGAGGAAAGUGACUUCAACGACCUAAUGAACAGUGUAACUGAUUGGGCAGAUGAAGGAUCCCCUUCCGCUCUGAUGAUGAGUAUCUCCCUCCAAUUUCUCUAAGAAUGGGUGGAGGAUUAAAGAAAGCCCCCUCUACAGAUCAUCUUCCAGUCAUUGGACUAGAUGAGACGGUGCAUGAUCACCCUUCACAUGAAGACCCUGCUGAUGAGCCCUGUGAUCAGCCAACUGCUUUUCCAGAAUGACAGCAUGUCCAGUGUGAAGAUGACAUCAUAGGUUCUCGAGCUGCAAUAAUAUUCAAAGAUUGUUUGAGGCAACUGGCUCCAUUUUUGAU
Molecule: long non-coding RNA, 355 nt
Organism: Epinephelus fuscoguttatus (brown-marbled grouper)
Lineage: Eukaryota; Metazoa; Chordata; Actinopteri; Perciformes; Serranidae
Exons: 3
Source: RefSeq, a predicted model, not a curated record